This is a long non-coding RNA of Mesocricetus auratus (golden hamster), 1572 nucleotides long. RefSeq lists it as uncharacterized. NCBI's taxonomy places the organism in Eukaryota, Metazoa, Chordata, Mammalia, Rodentia, Cricetidae. The record is from RefSeq and is a predicted model, not a curated record. The transcript has 3 exons.
UGUGUCCGCGGGCCUGGGAGGUAACCCCGCCCCCCACUUCUCGCCGCCCGCGGGGCCAGGCCCCGCUGCUGUGGUGCGCGGGGGUGGGGGUGUGCCGUUACCAUGCUCUUCUGAAGGAUCCCUUUCCUCCUCCUGCGCUCUUCUUGGGGUUCAAGGCCCCGUUUCCAGUGAAGGGACUUCCAAUAACCCCUUUUGGCUAUUCCAUGUCGAGCCUGUGGAGCUAAGAGGCCUGCCCUACUCCACUUCCGGCUGCCGCGUGGGUCUCUCCUGGCCCCACGCCCUGACCGAUGAACCCAGCUUGGUCUUGCUGAGCCACGGGGCAGCCUCCAGCAAGUAACUGAUAUUUUGUGGAAGUCACAAAACGGCGCCCCCUCUGGGCAAGAGGGUUCCCCUUUUCGGUCCGGCGAAGAAAAGCAAUCGGGGAAUCUGCAGAGGAUCGGCAUUGGAGCUUUCUGCCACCACCCUGUCCCCUGCCCUUCCUCCCUGCUCUUCCCUGCGGGUUAGUCUGCAGGGGCUCAAGUAAAGCUUCGCGCCUCCUGCAGUGCUGCUACUCACAUCUGGCAGGCAGCUGGGAGCCGCCCACCACAAACUACUGGGUACAUGGCGCCCUCUGUUGGUGCUGAGUGGCGACGCACCAGGGCCUGUGUGGUGCGCCUCUGAGGUCCAGGAUUUCCGUUUCUGAUCCGUGGGUCUCGGCUUCCACUCAUUCCGUGUCCUUAGCCUGCGGAAAACCCCCACCCUCUGACUCGCGGAGCUCCAAAAUCGUACUCUGAGGGUCCAUGGUUUUCUGCCCCCGUCACGAUCGAUCGUGCUGAUCAUCUGUUUUGCAUGCACGUGUACCUAAAACCCAGUCUAGUGACCUAGCUUCUCCGGACCUCACAAGGUCACAAGCAAUGACUUCAGAUUCUGAAGUCAUUCCGUGCCCCACGACCACUCAGUGUUUAACGUAAAAGUCCUAAAUUAGGAAUAUGGUUAUAUAAAUAAUCACACAUUUGCUCAAUGGAAUUCCUUGCUGUGUCCUUUAAAAUGAGGUGGCUAAAGGAUAUUUAGUAUUUUCUCUAUACUGGGGAAGGAUACAUUAACAAAAAAUAGCACGGGGGCAGGGUCCCUCUUUAAUGUAAGAAAAUCCUACAGGCAUCCAAGAGCUGAACUGACGAGGGAGUCAAUGCAAUGGAGAAACUAAUACAUUUAUUAACUGGAUAAAACUUACACACAAGCUGGCAAGACGAGAAGCGCGGUGGGCUUCCAAGAAAGAGUGCUUUUGCUUUUCCUUUCUUUUUAUAUCCUCACCUGUCCCUGGUACCCUGUCCCAUAGGGGCAUGGAUAGUAUUAUGGGCUCACCCCUACAAUGAACUAUUUUGGAUGAGGAUAUAUAGGUGGUUUAAAACUUGUUCACUGCUUUAUGCGUUUUCCGUUUGUGUUAAAUGAGCCUAUUUUACUUGAUCAUAGUAAUGAUUCCAUAUACUGAAGGUUUUAGUCCAAAACUUAGAAUCACAUUAUAUUUUUGAAAAGGUGUAAAAACACUCUAGAGGCAGAGGCAGGUAGAUAACUAUGAGUUCGAGGCUGACUGGU